RNAcentral lists this long non-coding RNA (929 nucleotides) under Zea mays. RNAcentral's name for it is "long non-coding RNA (ZMAY_LNC000092)". Lineage: Eukaryota; Viridiplantae; Streptophyta; Magnoliopsida; Poales; Poaceae. The record is from RNAcentral.
AGUUUUCUCCAUGCUUACCACAUCCACUUUCUCCAUAGGCUUCACUUUCUUUGUUGGGGGCAUCGUUAAAUUGUGAAAGCACAGCUGUAAAAUUAUCUUCAUUAACGGAGUCCUCAGGUUCUAGAGGAGAACAUGAUUCUUUAUCAUGAAUUAGAGGACUUGAAUCCAUGAACUCAGAAUCAACAAUGCCAAUGUUAAGUGAUCCCACUGAUUCAACUAGAGAUUUUUCUCCAUGCUUACCACAUCCACUUUCUCCAUAGCCUUCACUUUCUUUGUUGGGGGCAUCGUUAAAUUGUGAAAGCACAGCUGUAAAAUUAUCUUCAUUAACGGAGCCCUCAGGUUCUAGAGGAAAACAUGAUUCUUUAUCAUGAAUUAGAGGACUUGAAUCCAUGAACUCAGAAUCAAUAAUGCCAAUGUUAAGUGAUCCCACUGAUUCAGCUAGAGAUUUUUCUCCAUGCUUGCCACGUCCACUUUCUCCAUAGCCUUCGCUUUCUUUGUUGGGGGCAUCAUUAAAUUGUGAAAGCACAGCUGCAAAAUUAUCUUCAUUAACUGAGUCCUCAGGUUCUAGAGGAGAACAUGAUUCUUUAUCAUGAAUUAGAGGACUUGAAUCCAUGAACUCAGAAUCAACAAUGCCAAUGUUAAGUGAUCCCACUGAUUCAACUAGAGAUUUUUCUCCAUGCUUACCACAUCCACUUUCUCCAUAGCCUUCACUUUCUUUGUUGGGGGCAUCGUUAAACUGUGAAAGCACAGCUGUAAAAUUAUCUUCAUUAACGGAGCCCUCAGGUUCUAGAGGAGAACAUGAUUCUUUAUCAUGAAUUAGAGGACUUGAAUCCAUGAACUCAGAGUCAACAAUGCCAAUGUUAAGUGAUCCCACUGAUUCAGCUAGAGAUUUUUCUCCAUGCUUGCCACGUCCACUUUCUCCAUAGCCU